CCUACGGGGGGCAGCAGUAGGGAAUAUUGCUCAAUGGGGGAAACCCUGAAGCAGCAACGCCGCGUGGAGGAUGAAGGUUUUCGGAUUGUAAACUCCUUUUGUUAGAGAAGAAAAUGACGGUAUCUAACGAAUAAGCACCGGCUAACUCCGUGCCAGCAGCCGCGGUAAUACGGAGGGUGCAAGCGUUACUCGGAAUCACUGGGCGUAAAGGGCGCGUAGGCGGGAUAGCAAGUCAGAUGUGAAAUCCUAUGGCUUAACCAUAGAACUGCAUUUGAAACUGUUAUUCUAGAGUAUGGGAGAGGUAGGUGGAAUGCUUGGUGUAGCGGUGAAAUCCGUAGAGAUCAAGAGGAAUACUCAUUGCGAAGGCGACCUGCUAGAACAUAACUGACGCUGAUGCGCGAAAGCGUGGGGAGCAAACAGGAUUAGAUACCCUAGUAGUC
This 440-nucleotide ribosomal RNA is filed under the name uncultured bacterium. Its description in RNAcentral is "partial 16S ribosomal RNA". It matches the Rfam family "Bacterial small subunit ribosomal RNA", at positions 338 to 795 of the family's 1533-position model. The record is from RNAcentral.